GUUGUGGCUCAGUGGUAGAGCGCUUGCCUAGCAUGUGUGAGGUACUGGGUUCAAUCCUCAGCACUACA
This 68-nucleotide transfer RNA is filed under the name Marmota monax (woodchuck). Its description in RNAcentral is "tRNA.Ala". The stretch from base 3 to 63 matches the Rfam family "tRNA", at positions 6 to 65 of the family's 71-position model. Rfam says of the family: Transfer RNA (tRNA) molecules are approximately 80 nucleotides in length. Their secondary structure includes four short double-helical elements and three loops (D, anti-codon, and T loops). The record is from RNAcentral. Lineage: Eukaryota; Metazoa; Chordata; Mammalia; Rodentia; Sciuridae.